GAGUGUGGUGCUUGAUCAUACCACUGAUAGACAUGGAUCAGUUGUAUCAUCAAUGCAUCACACUCAC
Molecule: microRNA precursor, 67 nt
Filed under: Echinococcus granulosus
Lineage: Eukaryota; Metazoa; Platyhelminthes; Cestoda; Cyclophyllidea; Taeniidae
Description: microRNA egr-mir-10227d precursor
Source: miRBase by way of RNAcentral